Echria macrotheca is the source of this 114-nucleotide non-coding RNA. Lineage: Eukaryota; Fungi; Ascomycota; Sordariomycetes; Sordariales; Schizotheciaceae. The record is from the annotation of a GenBank genome assembly.
GGGCGGGUAGCGUAGUGGCCAGCGCAUUCCCUGAGCGUAAUUAGCGUUGAUUUUCUUCUCUUUCCUAGAAAAAGCGUUCAUUGAAAGUCCUGGGUUCGAAUCCCAGCCCGCCCA